CAGUAGCCACGGGAAUACGGAGGGUGCAAGCGUUAAUCGGAAUUACUGGGCGUAAAGCGCACGCAGGCGGUCUGACAAGUCAGAUGUGAAAUCCCCGGGCUUAACCUGGGAACUGCAUUUGAAACUGUCAGGCUGGAGUCUUGUAGAGGGGGGUGGAAUUCCAGGUGUAGCGGUGAAAUGCGUAGAGAUCUGGAGGAAUACCGGUGGCGAAGGCGGCCCCCUGGACAAAGACUGACGCUCAGGUGCGAAAGCGUGGGGAGCAAACAGGAUUAGAUACCCCCGUAGUCCUUGUCUCUUAUAC
RNAcentral lists this ribosomal RNA (301 nucleotides) under uncultured bacterium. RNAcentral describes it as "partial 16S ribosomal RNA". It matches the Rfam family "Bacterial small subunit ribosomal RNA", at positions 509 to 807 of the family's 1533-position model. The record is from RNAcentral.